Molecule: non-coding RNA, 29 nt
Filed under: Homo sapiens (human)
Lineage: Eukaryota; Metazoa; Chordata; Mammalia; Primates; Hominidae
Source: RNAcentral
UAACCCUGAGAUUCUGAUUCCCCAGAUCU